AUACAGAGGUGGCGAGCGUUGUUCGGAUUUACUGGGCGUAAAGGGCGCGUAGGAGGCCCCGUGUGUCGACCGUGAAAUCUCCGGGCUCAACCCGGAAAGUGCGGCCGAAACUGCGGGGCUCGAGCAGAGGAUGGGAAAGCGGAACUCAGGGUGUAGCGGUGAAAUGCGUUGAUAUCCUGAAGAACACCGGUGGCGAAGGCGGCUUUCUGGAAUCUUGCUGACUCUGAGGCGCGAAAGUAGGGGGAGCAAACAGGAUUAGAUACCCUGGUAGUCCCUACUGUAAACGGUGUGCACUAGACGUGGGGGGCUUCACCCCCUCCGUGUCCCAGCUAACGUGAUAAGUGCACCGCCUGGGGAGUACGGCCGCAAGGCUAAAACUCAAAGGAAUUGACGGGG
RNAcentral lists this ribosomal RNA (396 nucleotides) under uncultured bacterium. RNAcentral's name for it is "partial 16S ribosomal RNA". It matches the Rfam family "Bacterial small subunit ribosomal RNA", at positions 523 to 918 of the family's 1533-position model. The record is from RNAcentral.